Molecule: unclassified non-coding RNA, 165 nt
Filed under: Trichoderma protrudens
Lineage: Eukaryota; Fungi; Ascomycota; Sordariomycetes; Hypocreales; Hypocreaceae
Description: partial internal transcribed spacer 2
Source: RNAcentral
CAACCCUCGAACCCCUCCGGGGGGUCGGCGUUGGGGAUCGGCACUUACCUGCCGGCCCCGAAAUACAGUGGCGGUCUCGCCGCAGCCUCUCCUGCGCAGUAGUUUGCACACUCGCACCGGGAGCGCGGCGCGUCCACGGCCGUAAAACAACCCAAACUUCUGAAA